AGAGUUUGAUUCUGGCUCAGGAUAAAUGCUGGCGGCGUGCUUAACACAUGCAAGUCGAACGGACCUUUAUUACUGAAGCUUCGGCAGAUGUAAUAAAUAAGUAGUGGCGAACGGGUGAGUAAUGCAUAAAUAAUUUACCCUUAAGUUUGGGAUAACUCUUCGAAAGGAGAGCUAAUACCGAAUAAUCUAUUUUGUUUACUGAUAAAAUAGCAAAGUUCCGGCGCUUAAGGAUGAGUUUAUGUCUGAUUAGCUUGUUGGUAGGGUAAGAGCCUACCAAGGCUUCGAUCAGUAGCCGGCCUGAGAGGGUGUACGGCCACACCGGGACUGAGACACGGCCCAGACUCCUACGGGAGGCAGCAGUGAGGAAUAUUGCGCAAUGGGGGCAACCCUGACGCAGCAACGCCGCGUGAGCGAUGAAGUCUUUCGGGAUGUAAAGCUCUGUCAAGUGGAACGAUUAUGACGGUACCACUAGAGGAAGCACCGGCUAACUACGUGCCAGCAGCCGCGGUAAUACGUAGGGUGCAAGCAUUAUCCGGAAUUAUUGGGCGUAAAGCGCAUGUAGGUUGUAGAUUAAGUCAGAAGUGAAAUCCUUCAGCUCAACUGAAGUCAGCUUUUGAUACUGAUCUACUUGAGGUAAGGAGAGGGAAGCGGAACUCACGGUGUAGCGGUGGAAUGCGUAGAUAUCGUGAGGAACAUCAUUGGCGAAGGCGGCUUCCUGGACUUAUUCUGACACUGAAAUGCGAAAGCAUGGGGAGCGAACGGGAUUAGAUACCCCAGUAGUCCAUGCCGUAAACGUUGUUCACUAGGUGAUGGAGGUAUCGACCCCUUCAGUACCACAGAUAACUCGUUAAGUGAACCGCCUGGGGAGUACGACCGCAAGGUUAAAACUCAAAGAAAUUGACGGGGGCCCGCACAAGCAGUGGAGCAUGUGGUUUAAUUCGACGAUACACGAAGAACCUUACCAGGGUUUGACAUCUACAGAAGUCACUGGAAACAGAGAUGUGCCCGCAAGGGAACUGUAAGACAGGUGGUGCAUGGCUGUCGUCAGCUCGUGUCGUGAGAUGUUGGGUUAAGUCCCGCAACGAGCGCAACCCUCAUUUUGUGUUGCCAUCAAUUCGGUUGGGAACUCACAAAAAACUGCCUGUGGAAAGCAGGAGGAAGGUGAGGAUUACGUCAAGUCAUCAUGCCCCUUAUACCCUGGGCUACACACAUGCUACAAUGGCCGAUACAAAUGGUUGCCAAGCCGCGAGGUGGAGCUAAUCCAAUAAAAUCGGUCUCAGUUCGGAUUGUAGGCUGAAACUCGCCUACAUGAAGUUGGAAUUGCUAGUAAACGCAGAUCAGCUAUGCUGCGUUGAAUACGUUCCCGGGCCUUGUACACACCGCCCGUCACACCAUGAGAGUUGGAAACACCCGAAAUCAAUAAGCUAACCGCAAGGAGGCAGUUGCCUAAGGUGGAAUCAGCGAUUGGGGUGAAGUCGUAACAAGGUA
Molecule: ribosomal RNA, 1488 nt
Filed under: metagenome
Description: bacterial SSU rRNA
Rfam family: Bacterial small subunit ribosomal RNA
Source: RNAcentral